Non-coding RNA from Pelodiscus sinensis (Chinese soft-shelled turtle), 350 nucleotides. The record is from RefSeq and is a predicted model, not a curated record. Lineage: Eukaryota; Metazoa; Chordata; Testudines; Trionychidae.
UGCAGACUCAGAGGGCCCCUGAGGCAUUUCCAUUCUGGAUUGAGCAGCAGGGAAACUUUGAGUGGCAUUAGCCUUCGGCACUGAGGAAAUCCCUCUGGAACGACUGAUGAAUGAAUGACUGUGAUCGUGGGUUUCAAUAGAGGCUGGCACCGUUUUCCUGGAAAGUUAUUUAUCCUCCGAUGAUUUUUCCGUGGCCCAUCUGAAAUGAAGUGAGAAGUCCCAGCCCUGUGUCUAGACAACAUGUUCCUACCACAGGCCCUCCACAACCACUGGCAGCCAGUGAACUUGGACAAUGAACUAUUCUCUGACUGCUAGAGGCCACCCUCCAGUCAGGGCUGGAGUAUCUUUGC